GGGACAUAGUUUAAUAGGUAAAACUGCGAUUUUGCAUAUCGUUAUUUCAGGAUCGACUCCUGAUGUCUCCAU
RNAcentral lists this transfer RNA (72 nucleotides) under Opegrapha vulgata. RNAcentral's name for it is "tRNA-Ala". It matches the Rfam family "tRNA". Rfam says of the family: Transfer RNA (tRNA) molecules are approximately 80 nucleotides in length. Their secondary structure includes four short double-helical elements and three loops (D, anti-codon, and T loops). Lineage: Eukaryota; Fungi; Ascomycota; Arthoniomycetes; Arthoniales; Opegraphaceae. The record is from RNAcentral.